AUUACUUAGUUUCUAAAGUGUCACGUUGUUGCCAUGACUUGAACUCAAGUUCUUAACAUCACAAUUCAUUUCUCUAAACCAACUUAACCAUUUCAUCUAUUGACUAUAUGGACAAAAUAUAACAUAUUUACUAUAUACUUUAUAAAUUUGAAAAUAUAUAUUAUCUCCUGAAUCAAAUGGUUGAUUACUCUUUCUUUAAGACUAUAUUCACCCUUAACUUUUGCUAUACAAUGUUACUAUGAAUUAUUCUCUCAAAAUAAGAUAUGCCCAUAUUUUAUUUUGUGUUAGAACUUACUGUGUAUAAAUAAAUCUAGAACAAAACUAUAAAUGAGAG
Molecule: long non-coding RNA, 334 nt
Filed under: Panax ginseng (ginseng)
Lineage: Eukaryota; Viridiplantae; Streptophyta; Magnoliopsida; Apiales; Araliaceae
Description: long non-coding RNA (PGIN_LNC004566)
Source: RNAcentral